UACGGAGGGUGCGAGCGUUGUCCGGAAUCAUUGGGCGUAAAGGGCGCGUAGGUGGCUUCUUAAGCGUGCGGUGAAAGCUCGGGGCUCAACCCCGAGUCGGCCGUGCGAACUGGUGGGCUGGAGCACUGUAGAGGCAGGCGGAAUUCCGGGUGUAGCGGUGGAAUGCGUAGAGAUCCGGAAGAACACCGGUGGCGAAGGCGGCCUGCUGGGCAGUUGCUGACACUGAGGCGCGACAGCGUGGGGAGCAAACAGG
Molecule: ribosomal RNA, 253 nt
Filed under: uncultured bacterium
Lineage: Bacteria
Description: partial 16S ribosomal RNA
Rfam family: Bacterial small subunit ribosomal RNA
Source: RNAcentral